CCCCUCUCAGGGUCACACUUGGAGAGUUUCUAGGACUCUACCAGUAUUAGCUAGAGGACGGAGAGUCAAGCAGAGGCAUACCAAUUCUAUUUCUAGCUUGGGCAGCGGCUAGCGAAUGGAAGGCAAUCUGCUACAAGU
Molecule: small nucleolar RNA, 138 nt
Organism: Tachyglossus aculeatus (Australian echidna)
Lineage: Eukaryota; Metazoa; Chordata; Mammalia; Monotremata; Tachyglossidae
Source: RefSeq, a predicted model, not a curated record